Molecule: transfer RNA, 84 nt
Filed under: Candidatus Beckwithbacteria bacterium CG10_big_fil_rev_8_21_14_0_10_34_10
Lineage: Bacteria; Candidatus Beckwithiibacteriota
Description: tRNA-Leu
Rfam family: tRNA
About the family: Transfer RNA (tRNA) molecules are approximately 80 nucleotides in length. Their secondary structure includes four short double-helical elements and three loops (D, anti-codon, and T loops).
Source: RNAcentral
GCCGCGGUGCUGGAAUUGGUAGACAGGCACGGCUUAGAACCGUGUGUCUUUGACGUGAGAGUUCGAGUCUCUCCCGCGGCACCA